This 28-nucleotide non-coding RNA is filed under the name Rattus norvegicus (Norway rat). The record is from RNAcentral. Lineage: Eukaryota; Metazoa; Chordata; Mammalia; Rodentia; Muridae.
CUAACAUUACCAAAGCAGAGAAAGCCUG